GGACAGUGGCGGACGGGUGAGUAACGCGUGGGAAUCUGCCCUUUGGUGGGGAAUAGUUCCAGGAAACUGGAGGUAAUACCGCAUAAGUCCCGAGAGCAAUCGAGGGAGAAAGGUCGUAACUGGCCGCCGAAGGAGGAGCCUGCGUCCUAUCAGCUUGUUGGUGGGGUAAUGGCCUACCAAGGCGACGACGGGUAGCUGGACUGAGAGGUCGGUCAGCCACAAUAGCACUGAGACACGGGCUAUACACCUACGGGUGGCAGCAACCGGGAAUCUUGCGCAAUGGGCGAAAGCCUGACGCAGCGACACCGCGUGGAGGAUGAAGGCCUUCGGGUUGUAAACUUCUUUUGUGGUCGAAUAUUCGAUCAAGAAUAAGCACCUGCAAACUACGUGCCAGCAGCAGCGGUAAAACGUAGGGUGCCAGCGUUAUCCGGAUUUAUUGGGCGUAAAGAGUUUCGUAGGCGGUGGGGUAAGUAGUAAGUUAAAGACUCUGGCUCAACUAGAGAAAUGCUUACUAAACUGCUCUACUUGAGGUCGUUAGGGGGUGCUGGAAUUCCUGGUGGAGGGGUGAAAUCCAUUGAUAUCAGGAAGAACGCCGAGGGCGAAGCAGGCACCUGGGGCGAACCUGACGCUGAUGAACGAAAGCUAGGGGAGCAAAAGGGAUUAGAGACCCCUGUAGUCCUAGCCGUAAACGAUGGGACGCUAGUUGGGUCGAAAA
Molecule: ribosomal RNA, 715 nt
Filed under: uncultured bacterium
Lineage: Bacteria
Description: bacterial SSU rRNA
Rfam family: Bacterial small subunit ribosomal RNA
Source: RNAcentral